UCCCGAGCGUUNUCCGGAUUUAUUGGGCGUAAAGGGAGCGCAGGCGNUCAGGAAAGUCUGGAGUAAAAGGCUAUGGCUCAACCAUAGUGUGCUCUGGAAACUGUNUGACUUGAGUGCAGAAGGGGAGAGUGGAAUUCCAUGUGUAGCGGUGAAAUGCGUAGAUAUAUGGAGGAACACCAGUGGCGAAAGCGGCUCUCUGGUCUGUCACUGACGCUGAGGCUCGAAAGCGUGGGUAGCGAACAGGAUUAGAUACCCUGGUAGUCCACGCCGUAAACGAUGAGUGCUAGGUGUUAGGCCCUUUCCGGGGCUUAGUGCCGGAGCUAACGCAAUAAGCACUCCGCCUGGGGAGUACGACCGCAAGGUUGAAGCUCAAAGGAAUUGACGGGGGCCCGCACAAGCGGUGGAGCAUGUGGUUUAAUUCGAAGCAACGCGAAGAACCUUACCAGGUCUUGACAUCCCGAUGCUAUUCUUAGAGAUAGGAAGUUACUUCGGUACAUCGGAGACAGGUGGUGCAUGGUUGUCGUCAGCUCGUGUCGUGAGAUGUUGGGUUAAGUCCCGCAACGAGCGCAACCCUUAUUGUUAGUUGCCAUCAUUAAGUUGGGCACUCUAGCGAGACUGCCGGUGAUAAACCGGAGGAAGGUGGGGAUGACGUCAAAUCAUCAUGCCCCUUAUGACCUGGGCUACACACGUGCUACAAU
RNAcentral lists this ribosomal RNA (698 nucleotides) under uncultured bacterium. RNAcentral's name for it is "bacterial SSU rRNA". It matches the Rfam family "Bacterial small subunit ribosomal RNA", at positions 532 to 1231 of the family's 1533-position model. The record is from RNAcentral.